RNAcentral lists this long non-coding RNA (2059 nucleotides) under Lynx pardinus (Iberian lynx). The record is from RNAcentral. Lineage: Eukaryota; Metazoa; Chordata; Mammalia; Carnivora; Felidae.
CAAGGUAACAGAAUCAUUGUUUAUUAUUAAAAUAGAUUAUAGAAAGCAGCAUCUAUUUUGUGCAGUUUUUAGGGGCCUUGGAAAUAAAAAGCUAUGAUUUCCAAAAAUAUAACAUUCCAAAGGAUUGAAUAAUACAUACAUUUAAAGAUACAUUUUAUUAAAGUUUAGGAGAACUGAUUAAAAAAGAUACUGUCUCUUUAAAUGAGUGUGUAAUUGUUUUCUCCUCCUAUCUAUUCGGACAUGACAAUAAUUAUAAAUGGAGGUCACACUACAACUAGGUAGUCUCUAGGGACCAUGACCUGCUGACACACGGCCGAUAACAAAGAGGCUUUUCCAUGUAUGAGGUGGCUCCUGGGUUCACGGCAGGUCUCUUGGGAGAGGCCUAAUAGACCCAGGAGACCGGGACCCACUGCGGGGCUGUGCACACGAGCUCCACAGCUUCCUCCAGAUGUCUGAUUGUCUCAUCAAUUUCAUUGUUGAUAAUUGUGAGAUCGAAGUAGUGUGCGUAUGUUCUCUGUAAGAUAUCGGACUCCUUCUGCAGACGCUGAAGAGAUUCAUCCUAAAUGGCGGUGGGAUGGAGGUCGGGGUAGGGCGUGGGAGAAGGGAAAAAGCAAAGACAAGACAGAAGUCAGCUGGACUCUUUCUCUCUCCACGUUCCUGUUACUCCCAGUGUCACAAGCAGGCAAGGCUGGACCUCGAUGUGCUGCAUCGGGGCACGAGGCCAAGUCCGCUUUGUGACAGAGGAGGCAGUGGGCCCUGCGAUGGCAGGGUCACGGAGGAGCGACCUGUGGCCCGACUGCUCACCAUGCAACGGGAGCUCCAUGCCAAACCGGGGGAUCAGAGAAACCAGACACUCUUCGGCAAACACAACACCCCACCGGCCCGGCUGCUGCCAUCUGCCCCAGCGGGAGCCAGUCUCCUGACCGACCGGCAGUGAGGGCUCCGGAGGUGAGGACAGAGCCCUGCAUCCCCCUGCUUCCCUCUGUCCUCUGCUCGCACUUGUAUGGGGCCCCAGAGCCCAGCUGCAUCUGCACCAAGAAGCCACUGCCUCUGGCCAACAAAUUAAGUUGCAUUUUCCCCUCUUCUCCUUAGAGGUCCAACAUGUUCCAGGAAUUCAAUUAUGUAUAAUGGCCCUCGCUCAAUAGCAGUGGAUGCCAGAGGCAAAAGCUUUUUGGAUGUUGCAAAUAAUGGAUGAAAUAAGGCCAUUUCCCAGAUACAACAGCAACUGGCAUCUGAUGAAUCCCCUCAAACUGCUCUAUGCUGGAAAUGGCCAGAUGUCACUGGUCAGAAGGACUCGUACCGCUCAGGGAAAAAACUCAAGGGAAAGCAGCGACUGAACUCUAGGGGGCUUUGCUGCAGGAAAGGACUUCCCCUCAACUCCUAGAGCUUGCUGCAGAUCUCUUAAGGGCCACCAGAAAGUCUGCCUCUGGAUCCUCACAGGGCGGAUACCAUUUGGUUGAACUUUCAAUGGACAAAUUCAAAUCUGAGGCCAGAGAACUCUGUAAGUCAACUUUGCCCUGCCUCUCCCCCAACACGAGGUAGGUAAGGAAGGUAUUGGGCUGAAUCUUACGUAUGUGGAGAUAUAGUUAAUACCUGUUUAUGUGAUUAGUAUCUUUCCCCGACUGGAGCGUAAACUUGUCUGUGUGCCCGGUCAUUGCUGUGCCCAGCAUUUGGCACUGUGCCCCGCACACAGCAAGUGCUUACUUGGAAAGAAAGCACCUGGCUAAUAUUGCCCAUUAUGGGGUUUGAUGAGUGCAAACCUCUACUAGGUCCUACUAUUCUACUAGGAAAUGGAGGCCCAUGAUAACAGAGACCUCCAGAAACACUAAAGGAUGCGGGAGCCAUGGUGCCCAGAGCUGACUUAGGACCCCUCCCCCCUUCUCUGAGGCCCAUCCAUUAUUUGUGAGAAACCCUUGCUGAUGAGCCCCGGUCUGUGGGUGUGAGUCUCUGGGAAGGGGAUCGAAUGGGGUGUCACCGGAUCCCAUCAUAGCAACAUGGUGUGGGUGGACAGUUACGAGGCAAGCUAGGGACUCCAUCUUUUCUCUCAGGAUGCUCUGAA